GUAUGAUUAACCAAAGGAGGGCAAACAGCCAUCUCGAGGGCUCCCACCCAGCCCACCCCAAGGAGCCUGGGUACUCUGGCCCAGCAUUCCCGGCUGUGUGACCUUGGGACCAGAGGUGCCCUCGCCCACUGGGCGUGUGGGGCAGGACGCGUGGAGGCGGCAGCCUCUCUGUGAGCUCAUUCUUAGGGUGUUUUUGUUGGGAACCAGUCAGACCACUGGGGGUGGGGUGGGGCAGGAGGAGAGGGCCAAGGGGCUGGGGUGCUGGAAGCAGAGGCCUCUAGACUGGGGAGGUCAGGAAGGGGGGCCCCGUGUGGUGGCUCCCGGAGCCCGAGGACCUGACAGACCCAGAGGAAACAGGCUCCACCCUCCACUGCAGACAUGCUCAGCCAGCCCAAGGCAUGCUGGGUCAAACGUGAGGCAGGCGUGGCCCAUGGAUGUCACAUUGGCCAUGUGACAGAUGAGGGUCUGAGGCCCAGAUGGUAAUGGAUGGGGGGGGUUCACAUGUGGGACUUCGUGGGGUUGUAUAUGGGUGACAAGGUCAAUGACACAUCUGGUGACGAUGCCUCUGGGGCCCUCACAUACAUACACACACCCCUCUCAGAAAUACAGCGUAAUACACAUUGUCCUCUCAGAAAUGACACACACACAUACUUUCUCUUAAAAAUACAACUCAGCACACCCUCACGCACAUCCACAUUUUCCUUUCAAAAUAUUGAUACAACCUAAUGCAACACACUAAGGCACGCACACAAGUACAUUCUUCUUUUGGAAAUAACACAUACACAGUCUCCUCUGCGAAGUACAACUCAACACACAGGUAUACUUUCCCUUCAGAAAUAAAAGCCAGACAUAGAAAACAAAUUUACGGUUACCAAAGGGGAAAAGGGGAGGGGAGGGGUAAAUUAGGGGUUUGGGAUUAACAUAUACAUAUAUAAAAUCGAUAACCGACAAGGACCUACUGUGUAUACAGGGAACUAUACUCAAUAUCCUGUAAUAACUUAUAAUGGAAAAGAUUGUGAAAUAUAUAUAUAUAUAUAUAAUACAACGGAAUCACUUUGCUGUAUACCUGAAACUAACACAACAUUGUAAACCAACUAUGCUUCAAUAAAAAUUU
Molecule: long non-coding RNA, 1114 nt
Filed under: Phocoena sinus (vaquita)
Lineage: Eukaryota; Metazoa; Chordata; Mammalia; Artiodactyla; Phocoenidae
Description: lncRNA (ENSPSNG00000009059.1)
Source: RNAcentral